RNAcentral lists this long non-coding RNA (873 nucleotides) under Rattus norvegicus (Norway rat). Its description in RNAcentral is "long non-coding RNA NONRATT020770". Lineage: Eukaryota; Metazoa; Chordata; Mammalia; Rodentia; Muridae. The record is from RNAcentral.
GUAAAUUUACUUUAGCAGAAGUCUGGGUAAGUAUAAAAGCUGAGGUUUUCCUUUUCAUCCAUGUCAAAGACAUUGGUUUCGUUUUGUUGUGUUUUUUAAGAUUUUUCUUCUUAUUUUAUGUGCAUAGGUGUUUGCCUGAACGUAUGUUUAUGUGAGGGUAUCAGAUCCUCUGGAACUGGAGUUACAGACAGUUGUGAGCUGCAGUGUAGGUGCUGGGAAUUGAACCUGGGUUCUCUGAAAGAGCGGUCAGUGCUCUUCACCACUGAGCCAUUUCUCCAGCCCCUUCAUAGACAUUCUUGAUCAAAAGUAAUUAUUCAUGAUUACAGGUGAGAAGCAAAGGUUAGCAAACUGUCAUCCCAUUGAAACAAAAGCUACCAAAUUUCUCAUUAACACAAGUGACAUAGGGCAUGGAUUAUCAUCUGGAGACUCUUUAGGUUUUGUGUUGCUAGUGUAUCCCAAGCUAGUAGCAUAUAACAUAUAGUAGGUGCCCACACAAUACUUGUGGUAUUUGUUAGUAAGCAAGUAUUUUCUUGAUGUCCUCAGCAGUUUUAUGAAGAUUGGGCACUAUUGUCACCAAUCAUUAGGCUUAAGAAGAAAAGUAGUUUGCCUGUAGUAAUUCAGCUAUCACAGAACUAGAACUUAAACUGUAUGUGGUUUCUCUUUUGUGGGGGAGAGGUAGGAGUUGAAACAGAGUCUGAUGUAGGCAAGUUGGCCUGAAUUUCACCAUACAGCUUGAGGGUGCUGUACCUCCAAAAAGCUGGGAUUGUAGGCAUGUACUGGUAUAUCCAGCUUUCAGAUCCAUGGUCUUCAUCCCUGCAGUAUAUAUCCAAAAGAAACCAGAGAAGUAUGAUAAAGUCCCACUUGUGUUUACCA